Molecule: long non-coding RNA, 458 nt
Organism: Leopardus geoffroyi (Geoffroy's cat)
Lineage: Eukaryota; Metazoa; Chordata; Mammalia; Carnivora; Felidae
Exons: 3
Source: RefSeq, a predicted model, not a curated record
AUUUCAACUCUUUUGCAUAAAUACCCAGAAGUGGGAUUUCUGGAUCAUAUAACAGGUUCUAUGUUUAAUUUUUUGAGUAACUGCCAUACCAUUUUUCCGUAGUGGCUACACCAUCUACAGUCUCCCCAACAAUACACAAGGGCUCGCAUUUCUCCACAUCCACGUCAACACUUGGGACAAAACUACCUUUUAAAACAUUCAGAGAGUGGUUUACCAGAGUGCCCCUGGCUCAAGUCCUUGCUUGGACACAUGUUAAGUGUGUGACUGCUCCAAGCCCCUGUCCCCUCCGGGAAACUCAGACUUUGAGGGUACAACCCCAGCUUCAGAAGAUUACAAGAAGUAGAUGGCUGUCUGACGACUUUGAGUGUGUGUCCCACACACACUGUACCGCUAGUGAUCCACCGGAAAAUGUAUUGAGUACUGCGAUUAUCUUGUCAAUAACAAGUAUUGUAUCAUGA